This 632-nucleotide ribosomal RNA is filed under the name uncultured Sebacinales. Its description in RNAcentral is "eukaryotic LSU rRNA". The stretch from base 229 to 382 matches the Rfam family "5.8S ribosomal RNA". The record is from RNAcentral. Lineage: Eukaryota; Fungi; Basidiomycota; Agaricomycetes; Sebacinales.
GUGACCUGCGGAGGAUCAUUAACGAAUCUUUAAAGUCGGCCCUUCCAGUGCUGGUGGUCACACAUGUGCACGUUGGGGUCGCAAAUCCACACACCUGUGCAUACUUGACUCUGAGCACCUUNCACCCUCAUAUCAAGGGAGUCCAACCUUGGUUGGACUGGUGCUCGAGUAUUUUCACACACUCUGAAUGGAAUGGAAUGUCUAUUUUGCAUAACAUGCAAAUGAAACAACUUUCAACAACGGAUCUCUUGGCUCUCGCAUCGAUGAAGAACGCAGCGAAAUGCGAUAAGUAAUGUGAAUUGCAGAAUUCAGUGAAUCAUCGAAUCUUUGAACGCACCUUGCACCCUUUGGUUUUCCAAAGGGUACACCCGUUUGAGUGUCAUUGUAAUCUCACCCUCCGACUCAUUUUUGUCGGUGUGUUGUGGAAUUGGAUGCUGCCGUGUUGUGCCGGCUCAUCUGAAAUAUCUGAGUACAUCCUUGAUUUGUGAUGUGUUCGGUGUGAUAAAUCUUCACCGGAAUUGACCUUGUGUCACACUCACUUGACUUAUGGCUCUGUGCUUCCAAUCGUCCCACUGGUGGACAACAUCUGACAUUUUGACCUCAAAUCGGGUGGGACUACCCGCUGAACUUAA